GGUUAAGAAAAAUGGAAGAAUUUACAUCACGGAGGGGAGUAAUUACAUGUACAAGAAUGAUCCCAGUGAUCUUUUCCAAUAGAAGACAUGAUGACCAAGUUGGAGUCACCCAAAUUGCCUCGACCUGAGGCACAGCCUGGCCCCUGGACAACUUCGUUCCCUUGGGAUCCUGUCCCUGCCCUGUGACAAGGGAGCAGCCACGGGGAUUAAGCAGUGCCGGCUUCCACGUGGCUGCAGAACCAAUGUCCUAUGUCAUUCACUGGGUACAACACACACCUGACAAGCUCUAGCAUUUCCACCACUGGCUUUUACUCAUUGAGAAGAAUAUGGGCUGAACUCAAGACCAGGAGCCUGCACAAAGCUUUUCCUGCAAGAACGGUGACAGCAGGAGCCACCAUAUGGGAUGAGACACGAAGCAACUUUGCCUUAGCCCUGCUGAUUGAAUAGGACUAAUCAGGCUGAACUCAGUGCCCAUCUGCUGAUGGCUGCGUAACCAAGAAGCAUCACCCAUGAGCUGGCAGGACCAGGGCAGGGAGUGACACCCACAGCUCACCUGAUCCUCUCAGCUCCAUCCCAGAGAGAUCAGCCUCUGGAGACAGCGACUCUGCCUCUCUAGAAUGGCAGUGUUCCAGAGCUGCUCCAGGGGGUGCCACAGCAUGGAAGCAGGCAGCCCUGCAGAAGUGAUGGGACACGACCCAAAGAGACAUGAACCUUGUGAAUGUGCACUUCAGUUUGCAUCAGAAGCAGGCUCAGUACCAUGCCACAGACUCAAAACUCUCCAGAUUUCAUCCCCUCCAAUUUGUGGCACCAGCUGGAAGCCAGGACGUUGAGAGGGUGGAGAUACACCACAGAGAAGCUGCAAGAUGCACCAAGGCAGUAGAUCAGAGCCAAAAGCAAGGACCUGGGGAAAUGCAGCCUGGUCUCGCUGACAUCAUUGCAUCCUCAUCCUGUGCUGAGCCGGCUGCUCAGGGUGCGUGCCCAUGCCAGAUACACUGAUUGCUUUCUGCAAACAGCUUAUCCGCAGACAGCUGGACUAAACCCAACCCCAUUUCACGUGAGUCACUGACCAAGAGGUCAGGAAGCAAUGCCUCCUCAGGUCCAUCUGCAAGGGCUGGAUUCAAACCACUGACUACAGCACCAGAGAAACUCCCCAGUUUCCCCCCCAACUCCUCAGCUAAAGGACAUUUCUUCCCCACCGACAUCCCCAGCGACUGUAUCAGAAUGAGCAGAGCUAUUUCUCCCUGCAAUGCCUACAGGAAAAUUCCCUUUCAAAGGCUCAGUUAUACAGGAACAUCUCAGGAACUGCCCGUGUGAGUCAGCUAUUCCCCUGAAUCCUAACAACCUUUUCUGCAGGAGCUGGUUGGGAAAGGAAAAAGCAGAAAGACAAAAAGAUUGUGUCCUAAAUAAAAACACACAUAACCACUUGCCAAAAAAGAAAAAAAAA
Molecule: long non-coding RNA, 1444 nt
Filed under: Gallus gallus (chicken)
Lineage: Eukaryota; Metazoa; Chordata; Aves; Galliformes; Phasianidae
Description: long non-coding RNA NONGGAT002565
Source: RNAcentral